GACGAUCACCAAGAAACCAUUAGUGUCGCCCCUUCUCUCCCUUUCCAGCAAAACACAACCAAUUUUCCCCCUUUUCAUUGAUCCUUUUUGCACUACCUCGUCGGAGGUCGUGGCCGGUGAGAUUUAGCCAUACCACCACCAUACGCUACCCAACACCGUUAAAAUAGUCGCACCACCUCAAACCACCACCUUCUCUUUCUUAUCACUAUUUCGGC
This 215-nucleotide long non-coding RNA is filed under the name Capsicum annuum. Its description in RNAcentral is "long non-coding RNA (CANN_LNC002628)". The record is from RNAcentral. Lineage: Eukaryota; Viridiplantae; Streptophyta; Magnoliopsida; Solanales; Solanaceae.